RNAcentral lists this ribosomal RNA (441 nucleotides) under uncultured bacterium. Its description in RNAcentral is "partial 16S ribosomal RNA". It matches the Rfam family "Bacterial small subunit ribosomal RNA", at positions 338 to 796 of the family's 1533-position model. The record is from RNAcentral.
CCUACGGGUGGCAGCAGUGGGGAAUAUUGCACAAUGGGGGAAACCCUGAUGCAGCGACGCCGCGUGAGUGAAGAAGUAUUUCGGUAUGUAAAGCUCUAUCAGCAGGGAAGAAAAUGACGGUACCUGAUUAAGAAGCACCGGCUAACUACGUGCCAGCAGCCGCGGGAAUACGUAGGGGGCAAGCGUUAUCCGGAUGUACUGGGUGUAAAGGGAGCGUAGACGGCAGCACAAGUCUGGAGUGAAAUGCCGGGGCUUAACCCCGGAACUGCUUUGGAAACUGUGCAGCUAGAGUGCCGGAGAGGUAAGUGGAAUUCCUAGUGUAGCGGUGAAAUGCGUAGAUAUGAGGAGGAACACCAGUGGCGAAGGCGGCAUACUGGACUGUAACUGACGUUGAGGCUCGAAAGCGUGGGGAGCAAACAGGAUUAGAUACCCCAGUAGUCC